RNAcentral lists this ribosomal RNA (372 nucleotides) under uncultured organism. RNAcentral describes it as "partial 16S ribosomal RNA". It matches the Rfam family "Bacterial small subunit ribosomal RNA", at positions 527 to 896 of the family's 1533-position model. The record is from RNAcentral.
GUAGGUGGCAAGCGUUGUCCGGAAUUAUUGGGCGUAAAGCGCGCGCAGGCGGUUCUUUAAGUCUGAUGUGAAAGCCCACGGCUCAAUCGUGGAGGGUCAUUGGAAACUGGAGAACUUGAGUACAGAAGAGGAAAGCGGAAUUCCACGUGUAGCGGUGAAAUGCGUAGAGAUGUGGAGGAACACCAGUGGCGAAGGCGGCUUUCUGGUCUGUAACUGACGCUGAGGCGCGAAAGCGUGGGGAGCAAACAGGGAUUAGAUACCCUGGUAGUCCACGCCGUAAACGAUGAGUGCUAAGUGUUAGGGGGUUUCCGCCCCCUUAGUGCUGCAGCUAACGCAUUAAGCACUCCGCCUGGGGAUACGGCCGCAAGGCUG